CCUACGGGAGGCAGCAGUGGGGAAUAUUGGACAAUGGGGGCAACCCUGAUCCAGCCAUGCCGCGUGUGUGAAGAAGGCCCUCGGGUUGUAAAGCACUUUCAGUGAGGAAGAACGCCUGGUGGUUAAUACCCAUCAGGAAAGACAUCACUCACAGAAGAAGCACCGGCUAACUCCGUGCCAGCAGCCGCGGUAAUACGGAGGGUGCGAGCGUUAAUCGGAAUUACUGGGCGUAAAGCGCGCGUAGGUGGCUUGAUAAGCCGGUUGUGAAAGCCCCGGGCUCAACCUGGGAACGGCAUCCGGAACUGUCAAGCUAGAGGGCAGGAGAGGAAGGUAGAAUUCCCGGUGUAGCGGUGAAAUGCGUAGAGAUCGGGAGGAAUACCAGUGGCGAAGGCGGCCUUCUGGACUGACACUGACACUGAGGUGCGAAAGCGUGGGUAGCAAACAGGAUUAGAUACCCUGGUAGUC
RNAcentral lists this ribosomal RNA (465 nucleotides) under Vreelandella stevensii. RNAcentral's name for it is "partial 16S ribosomal RNA". It matches the Rfam family "Bacterial small subunit ribosomal RNA", at positions 338 to 795 of the family's 1533-position model. The record is from RNAcentral. Lineage: Bacteria; Pseudomonadati; Pseudomonadota; Gammaproteobacteria; Oceanospirillales; Halomonadaceae.